AUAUAUAUCAUUGGACACGUAGAUUCUGGAAAGUCCACAACAACUGGACAUCUGAUCUACAAAUGUGGUGGUAUCAACAAGAGAACCAUCGAAAAGUUCGAGAAGGAAGCUGCUGAGAUGGGAAAAGGCUCCUUCAAGUAUGCCUGGGUCUUGGACAAACUGAAGGCCGAGCGUGAACGUGGUAUAACCAUUGACAUCUCCCUGUGGAAAUUUGAGACCAGCAAAUACUAUGUCGCUAUCAUUGAUGCUCCUGGACACAGAGAUUUCAUCAAGAACAUGAUCACUGGUACUUCUCAGGCUGACUGUGCUGUCCUGAUUGUUGCUGCUGGUGUUGGUGAAUUUGAAGCUGGUAUCUCAAAGAAUGGACAAACCCAUGAGCAUGCCCUCCUUGCCUACACACUGGGUGUAAAACAGCUGAUCGUUGGUAUUAACAAGAUGGAUUUCACUGAACCCCCAUACAACCAGAAAAGAUAUGAGGAAAUUGUAAAGGAAGUCAGCACAUACAUCAACAAGAUUGGUUACAACGCUGACACUGUUGCCUUUGUACCUAUUUCUGGAUGGAACGGUGACAACAUGCUUGAGCCUAGCCCCAAUAUGCCAUGGUUUAAGGGAUGGAAAAUCACCCGUAAAGAGGGAUCUGGCAGUGGAACUACCCUGCUGGAAGCUCUUGACUGCAUUCUGCCACCUAGUUGCCCAACUGAUCAGCCUCUCCGUUUGCCUCUGCAGGAUGUCUACAAAAUUGGCGUUAUUGGUACUGUACCAGUUGGUCGUGUGGAAACUGGUGUCAUUAAACCAGGCAUGGUGGUUACCUUUGCCCCUGUUAAUGUAACAACUGAAGUGAAAUCUGUUGAAAUGCACCAUGAAGCCCUUACUGAGGCCGUACCCGGUGACAACGUCGGCUUUAACGUCAAGAACGUUUUCGUGAAGGACGUCCGUCAUGGAAACGUUGCUGGUGACCGCAAGAAUGACCCACCAAUGGAAGCUGGUUCUUUUACCGCACAGGUUAUCAUCCUGAAUCACCCAGGCCAGAUUGGUGCUGGAUAUGCCCCUUUGUUGGAUUGCCACACUGCUCACAUUGCUUGCAAGUUUGCUGAGCUGGAAGAUUGAUCGCCGUUCUGGUAAGAAACUGGAAGACAAUCCCAAAUUCCUGAAGUCUGGAGAUGCUGCCAUUGUUGACAUGAUCCCAGGAAAGCCAAUGUGCAUGGAGAGCUUCUCAGACUACCCUCCUCUUGGUCGUUUUGCUGUCCUUGACAUGAGGCAGACUGUUGCCGUAGGAGUCAUCAAGGCAGUGGAAAAGAAGGCAGCAGGAUCUGGCAAAGUCACAAAGUCUGCUCAGAAAGCAGCAAAAACCAAAUGAAUAUUUCCAGAGUCUCUCACCUCAGUCAUAACCAGUGGUGGAGGAUUGGUCUCAGAACUCUUUCUAUCAAUUGGCCAUCAGAGUUUAAUAGUCAAAGACUGGUUAAUGAUUACAAUGCAUCGCAAGAGCUUCAGAAGGAAAAAAAUGCUUGUGGACACAUUUGUUUGUGGCAGUUUUAAGUUAUUAGUGUUUUAAAUCCAGUAAUUUCUAAAUGGAAGCAAAUCGACCAAAACCUGUCACCAAAUUUGAGACCAUUAA
RNA transcript from Xenopus laevis (African clawed frog), 1615 nucleotides. It is a transcript of the gene named elongation factor 1-alpha, somatic form-like, with no coding region annotated. Lineage: Eukaryota; Metazoa; Chordata; Amphibia; Anura; Pipidae. The transcript has a single exon. The record is from RefSeq and is a predicted model, not a curated record.